CCUUUUAUUUCUUUUGCUUGCCUGAUUGCUCUGGCUAGGACUUCCAAUACUAUGUUAAAUAAGAGUGGUGACAGUGGGCAUCCUUGUCUGGUUCCUGUUCUUAGAGGGAUAGCUUUCAGUUUUUCUCCAUUGGGAAUGAUAUUUGCUGUGGGUUUGUCAUAUAUGGCCUUUAUUAUGUUGAGGUACUUUCCUUCUAUACUCAUUUUAUUGAGAAUUUUAUCAUAAAUGGAUACUGAAUCUUGUGAAAUGCUUUCUCUGCGUCUAUUGAGAUGAUCAUAUGAUUUUUAUUCUUCAUGUGUUAAUGUGUUCUAUCACAUUAACAGACUUGCAGAUGUUGAGCUAUCUUUGCAUCCCUGAAAUAAAUCCCACUUGAUUGUGGUGUAAGAUCCUUUUAUGUAUCAUUUUAUUUGAUUUGCUCAUAUUUUCUUGGGAUUUUGCAUCUAUGUUCAUCAGUGAUAUUGGCCUAUAAUUUUCCUUUUUUGUGUUGUCCUUCUCUAGUUUUGGUAUCACGCUAAUGUUGGCCUUGUAAAAUGAGUUAGGAAGUGUCCUGUCCUCUUCAAUGUUUUGGGAGAGUUUGAGAAGGAGAUGUAUUAAGUCUUCUUUGAAUGUUCGAUAGAAUUCACCAGAGAAGCCAUCUGGUCCUGGACUUUUGUUUUUGUGGCAGUUUUUGAUUACUGUUUUUAUCUCCUUGUGAUUGGUCUAUUCAGAGUCUCCAUUUUUUCUUGAUUCAGUUUUGGGAGUUUGUAUGAUCCUAAGAAUUUAUCCAUUUCUUCUAGGUUAUCCAAUUGUUGGCAUAUAGCUUUUCAUAUUCUCUUCUUUCUCUUGUUUCAUAUUCUCUUAUAAUUCUUUGUAUUUCUGUGGUACCCAUUAUAAUUUCUCCUCUUCUGUUUCUGAUUUUAUUUGACAUAAUUACAUGGGUUCACAACCACCAUAGUUUUGAUUAUAUCUUCAAAGAAAGUCCUGCUAUGUAACACUUUAAAUUUGUUGGCUUACAAUUACAGAAAUUACAUUAAUGAUAGUUCAUUGUCCCAUGAUUAGAUAUCCACCUAGAAAAAUAUAUUUGUAUGAGAUGUGAUUACUCAUGAGAGCAAGGGCACCAGGGUUGAUCAGAUUAUUUUAUCUUCUUUUGGAUACUCUUCAUAAUGUUUUAAAUUUGAGAUAUAAUUUUGAUGGACCUAACCACUCCAAAAAUAAGCAUUUCGUUAGCAUUAUUUUGCACCAAUGACCACUAAGUAUUUCUCAAGUUUUGCUCACGUGUCAUGUCUCCUAUUGGCAUUUAGUCACAGGCAUACGCAGUAAGAUGGCAUUCAGGUGGUGCUGACCUGUUAGAUCCUGUGUUCCCAUGUCAGACUCCUUGCUUGCGUACCCUCCUCUCCAACUCAACUCUGGGAAAAGUCAGGUGUGCUACCUUUGCCUGACUGUGGAUAGAAGAUUCAAAGAUGAGGGUGGGAGGGAUCUGAACUAGCUCAAGUCUGCAGGAAACCAAGUCUCAGGGGAUUAUGUUUGGAUCUUGGACAUAGGCGAGCGUUCUGGAAAAACCUGAUGCUAGAUAGGAGGAAGUUCAACACAAGUCUAAUCAUAACUGCAAAGCCUUCUAGGUUCACUUCUCCUCUCAAGGAUGACUUUCUUCUAUAAAGUCCUCUGAAUUCUGCCUGCGUGAUUAGACAGUGCAGGAACAGGAACCCAGACAGGACAUUGUAAUUUUUUUCUUCCCCUCACUUAUUGGAUUCCUCUCUUAGGUAUGAGGCAAUCGAACUUUGACCAGGGUACUCCUUGACUAAGAAACACUUACUAGGAAAAGAAAAGUACCUUGGAAUCAAGUAGACCUUGGUAUGGAUCCUAGAUCCACUCAUUACAAGUUCUAUGUACUUUGCUAUUUACUUAAUCUAUGAACUUUAGCUUUUUCUCCAUAAAACGAGAAUGACAAUACCUGCUUCUUAGAUUUAUUGAUAGACUUCAAUGAAAUAAUAGCUAUUAAUUACCAAGCACAGAACCUGGCAAAAUAGAAUGAAAUUACUUCACAAUAUGAGUUUUGUCUCCUCUUCACUUUUUUCUUUCUUCCCCAAUUAGCCCAUAGACUAUACCUUAAUUAUGGGUUAUUAACCUUGGGAGAUUUUCUUAUCAGACUAAACCUUAGGUUCUCUUAAAAGGGUGUGAAGGGGCCAGGCCCAGAGGCCACCUAAUUUUUCAAUUUAUUUGUUUUUUGAUUUUACAAGAUUCACUUGUAAGUAUUGAGCAGAUCUUUCUUCUGAUCUUGUCUUUUCUCUCUUCUUUCCACCUUUUCCCCAUCCUAUCAUGAACCAAAUUAAAGUGCUCAUCUACACUGUGCUAAAUGUUCUUUGUAACGGAUGUUGUGGUAUAUCACCCAGAUUCACCUUCAUUCCCCCACCUGCUUGGAGUUUUGGCAGCUGAUGAUCUACAGCUGUGUCUCUCUUUGGAGACUUCCCUCUGCUGGAGAAAGCUGCCUUGUCCAAGGUUUUUACUCCUUCCUGGAAGGAGACUACAUCCAGUGACUCUUCCAUAAGGGUAUGAAAGCCCUAUACCUUAGCCUCAAUUUGGGAUUUCUCUAAAGGAC
This 2575-nucleotide long non-coding RNA is filed under the name Equus caballus (horse). RNAcentral's name for it is "lncRNA (ENSECAG00000048580.1)". The record is from RNAcentral. Lineage: Eukaryota; Metazoa; Chordata; Mammalia; Perissodactyla; Equidae.